RNAcentral lists this ribosomal RNA (468 nucleotides) under uncultured bacterium. Its description in RNAcentral is "partial 16S ribosomal RNA". It matches the Rfam family "Bacterial small subunit ribosomal RNA", at positions 28 to 507 of the family's 1533-position model. The record is from RNAcentral.
GACGAACGCUGGCGGCGUGCUUAACACAUGCAAGUCGAACGGAAAGGCCCUGCUUUUGUGGGGUGCUCGAGUGGCGAACGGGUGAGUAACACGUGAGUAACCUGCCCUUGACUUUGGGAUAACUUCAGGAAACUGGGGCUAAUACCGGAUAGGAGCUCCUGCUGCAUGGUGGGGGUUGGAAAGUUUCUGCGGUUGGGGAUGGACUCGCGGCUUAUCAGCUUGUUGGUGGGGUAGUGGCUUACCAAGGCUUUGACGGGUAGCCGGCCUGAGAGGGUGACCGGCCACAUUGGGAAUGAGAUACGGCACAGACUCCUACGGGAGGCAGCAGUGGGGAAUAAUGCACCAUGGGCGGAAGCCUGAUGCAGCAACGCCGCGUGCGGGAUGACGGCCUUCGGGUUGUAAACCGCUUUCGCCUGUGACGAAGCGUGAGUGACGGUAAUGGGUAAAGAAGCACCGGCUAACUACGUG